CGACUUUGGAAUAUAGAUUCGUUUGAACAUCUUAAUCGGACGUUGAACAGUUGGUUAGAUGGAGAAACUGGAGAUGGUGAAAGGAUUAGAAGAAUCCAAUGACUUGUGUCCAUGUUCAAUCAAAAUGGAGAAGUGCGUGAAUGAGUGGAUAUUAAGACUGACAGAGGCGUUCAUAGGAUGAUGCAUUAUAUGUUCAAAAUUGUUUUGAUGUUGUAAUCGCUUAGUAAUUGUAUUUUAAUUGUUUUAGUUGUUUGUGUU
This 258-nucleotide long non-coding RNA is filed under the name Lathyrus oleraceus (garden pea). Its description in RNAcentral is "Pisum sativum (pea) long non-coding RNA (PSAT_LNC015675)". Lineage: Eukaryota; Viridiplantae; Streptophyta; Magnoliopsida; Fabales; Fabaceae. The record is from RNAcentral.